RNAcentral lists this ribosomal RNA (301 nucleotides) under uncultured bacterium. Its description in RNAcentral is "partial 16S ribosomal RNA". It matches the Rfam family "Bacterial small subunit ribosomal RNA", at positions 509 to 807 of the family's 1533-position model. The record is from RNAcentral.
CAGUAGCCGCGGUAAUACGUAGGGUGCGAGCGUUAAUCGGAAUUACUGGGCGUAAAGCGUGCGCAGGCGGUGAUGUAAGACAGUUGUGGAAUCCCCGGGCUCAACCUGGGAACUGCAUCUGUGACUGCAUCGCUGGAGUGCGGCAGAGGGGGAUGGAAUUCCGCGUGUAGCAGUGAAAUGCGUAGAUAUGCGGAGGAACACCGAUGGCGAAGGCAAUCCCCUGGGCCUGCACUGACGCUUAUGCACGAAAGCGUGGGGAGCAAACAGGAUUAGAGACCCCUGUAGUCCCUGUCUCUUAUAC